This 459-nucleotide ribosomal RNA is filed under the name uncultured bacterium. Its description in RNAcentral is "partial 16S ribosomal RNA". It matches the Rfam family "Bacterial small subunit ribosomal RNA", at positions 338 to 795 of the family's 1533-position model. The record is from RNAcentral.
CCUACGGGAGGCAGCAGUGAGGAAUAUUGGUCAAUGGGCGGGAGCCUGAACCAGCCAAGUCGCGUGAGGGACGACGGUCCUAUGGAUUGUAAACCUCUUUUGUCGGGGAACAAAGGCGCCCACGGGUGGGCGGAUGAGUGUACCCGAAGAAACAGCAUCGGCUAAUUCGGUGCCAGCAGCCGCGGUAAUACGGGGGAUGCGAGCGUUAUCCGGAUUUAUUGGGUUUAAAGGGUGCGUAGGCGGACGGUAACGUCAGCGGUAAAAGCCCGGGGAUAAACCCCGACCCGCCGUUGAAACUGGCAGUCUCGAGUUGGAGAGAAGUAUGCGGAAUGCGCGGUGUAGCGGUGAAAUGCAUAGAUAUCGCGCAGAACUCCGAGUGCGAAGGCAGCAUGCCGGCUCCACACUGACGCUGAGGCACGAAAGCGUGGGUAUCGAACAGGAUUAGAUACCCGGGUAGUC